This 17-nucleotide ribosomal RNA is filed under the name uncultured Tomentella. RNAcentral's name for it is "partial 28S ribosomal RNA". Lineage: Eukaryota; Fungi; Basidiomycota; Agaricomycetes; Thelephorales; Thelephoraceae. The record is from RNAcentral.
UUGAUCUCAAAUCAGUA